AGCUCUUUUCAUGUUCAUGUUAUAAAUACGAGACUGAGACUUGAAUAGUAAAGCCAGGUAUGCUUGAAUGAAUAAACAAUUUUGUGCUUGCUAAUAAUUUAAAGGGAAAUCCAACCAUGAGAAUUGAGAUGAAGUGGCUUAAUUUCAGCAAAUGCAGAAAAAUGAAGCAAAUACAUUUCAUGUUUCUUCCCGGUUUUACCAGUAGAAUAGCCGGCUGAGAGGACCAUCACUAGCACUCCCAUUGGCUGAUGUCUAAGUAGGAGUUUGACGUGGAGAGCUUUAAGCAUGUUGUUGAGUUUACCAGUAGAAUAGACAGCUGGGAUACGCAAGAGAUGAGGGACCACUAGCACCCCCAGUGGUUGAUGUCCAUUUACAUGUAGGAGUUUGUGCAGCUGAUGUGGAGAGCUUUUAGCAAAUUGACAAGCAUCUUCACCCUCUGCCCUUGAACUGAUUGCUUUUCCAAUACCACGGUUUGGAGGUCAGACCAAACGACUGACAGACCGACCGAUUGAAUAGCUAAGUCCCCUCAGUCAUCAAAGGAUGGACAAAAAUACAGAAGUUAUUGUUAGGUGGGAUCGUGAUGGAGAGAUCAAUUGUGGCAAGAAACGAGAUCUUCGAUAUAAUGGAAGGCUUAGGGUGGGUUCAAGAGUCACUAUGAGCUAGAUGGAUGUGGACUGGACGGGGACUGCAACGCUGACAGGAGACUCUGACUCCGAAUGUGCCUCCAUUUAGAGGUUUUGUGGUCUAGUGGAUAAGUCGUUGGACUGUGGAUCACAGGAUCCAUGGUUCAAGUCCCGCCACAGCAGUAAUGUCUUUUGGCAAGAUAUUAAUCUACAU
This 837-nucleotide long non-coding RNA is filed under the name Strongylocentrotus purpuratus (purple sea urchin). RNAcentral's name for it is "uncharacterized LOC115928114, transcript variant X4". The record is from RNAcentral. Lineage: Eukaryota; Metazoa; Echinodermata; Echinoidea; Camarodonta; Strongylocentrotidae.